GUUCAAGCUCUGCUGUUUUUUCCAGUGUUGCUCCUCCUCUUACUGCAGCUCUGCUUGUCAGUGUGUUUCCUCCCUCUGAUUUACAUGGAGCAAAUGAGGAGCCACACCUGACAGGUGGGAGGAGUAAGGUGUCACCACUUGGUCGUCAACUGCAGAGAGUCUUCAUACAAUGAAGAAGUUGAUUGAGACAGAGUGGUAAUUAUUUAUGUAAUUAAUACAUACAGUGCAUUCAGACAAUAUUCAGUUUAUUUAUUCACAUUUGUUAUGUUGCCACUUUAAGCUAAAAUUAAAAAAAAUAAUAAUAAUCGAACAUUAGAAGUUUUUGAAAUUGUUAAAAAGAAAAAACUGAUUGGAUCUGAUCUGAAAGACAAAAUAAAAAAUGUCAUAGACAUGUCAUAGUAUAGUAAGGUGGGCUGAAUACUAAGUAUGAAUACUUUCUGAAUGCCCUGUGCUUCAUGUUUGAACAAGUUACAGAAAAGGAAGAAUUACAACAAUACCAAUAAUUUGUUUCCUAACUCCAAGGAUAAGAAUGGCUGUGUUAAAUGUUGUUAAAAUUUUUUUACUCUCCGUUGAUGAGUGGUUCUGUCUCAUUACC
Molecule: long non-coding RNA, 595 nt
Organism: Lates calcarifer (barramundi perch)
Lineage: Eukaryota; Metazoa; Chordata; Actinopteri; Centropomidae
Exons: 2
Source: RefSeq, a predicted model, not a curated record